This 1413-nucleotide ribosomal RNA is filed under the name Pediococcus acidilactici. RNAcentral's name for it is "bacterial SSU rRNA". It matches the Rfam family "Bacterial small subunit ribosomal RNA". The record is from RNAcentral. Lineage: Bacteria; Bacillati; Bacillota; Bacilli; Lactobacillales; Lactobacillaceae.
ACUUCCGUUAAUUGAUUAUGACGUGCUUGCACUGAAUGAGAUUUUAACACGAAGUGAGUGGCGGACGGGUGAGUAACACGUGGGUAACCUGCCCAGAAGCAGGGGAUAACACCUGGAAACAGAUGCUAAUACCGUAUAACAGAGAAAACCGCCUGGUUUUCUUUUAAAAGAUGGCUCUGCUAUCACUUCUGGAUGGACCCGCGGCGCAUUAGCUAGUUGGUGAGGUAACGGCUCACCAAGGCGAUGAUGCGUAGCCGACCUGAGAGGGUAAUCGGCCACAUUGGGACUGAGACACGGCCCAGACUCCUACGGGAGGCAGCAGUAGGGAAUCUUCCACAAUGGACGCAAGUCUGAUGGAGCAACGCCGCGUGAGUGAAGAAGGGUUUCGGCUCGUAAAGCUCUGUUGUUAAAGAAGAACGUGGGUGAGAGUAACUGUUCACCCAGUGACGGUAUUUAACCAGAAAGCCACGGCUAACUACGUGCCAGCAGCCGCGGUAAUACGUAGGUGGCAAGCGUUAUCCGGAUUUAUUGGGCGUAAAGCGAGCGCAGGCGGUCUUUUAAGUCUAAUGUGAAAGCCUUCGGCUCAACCGAAGAAGUGCAUUGGAAACUGGGAGACUUGAGUGCAGAAGAGGACAGUGGAACUCCAUGUGUAGCGGUGAAAUGCGUAGAUAUAUGGAAGAACACCAGUGGCGAAGGCGGCUGUCUGGUCUGUAACUGACGCUGAGGCUCGAAAGCAUGGGUAGCGAACAGGAUUAGAUACCCUGGUAGUCCAUGCCGUAAACGAUGAUUACUAAGUGUUGGAGGGUUUCCGCCCUUCAGUGCUGCAGCUAACGCAUUAAGUAAUCCGCCUGGGGAGUACGACCGCAAGGUUGAAACUCAAAAGAAUUGACGGGGGCCCGCACAAGCGGUGGAGCAUGUGGUUUAAUUCGAAGCUACGCGAAGAACCUUACCAGGUCUUGACAUCUUCUGCCAACCUAAGAGAUUAGGCGUUCCCUUCGGGGACAGAAUGACAGGUGGUGCAUGGUUGUCGUCAGCUCGUGUCGUGAGAUGUUGGGUUAAGUCCCGCAACGAGCGCAACCCUUAUUACUAGUUGCCAGCAUUCAGUUGGGCACUCUAGUGAGACUGCCGGUGACAAACCGGAGGAAGGUGGGGACGACGUCAAAUCAUCAUGCCCCUUAUGACCUGGGCUACACACGUGCUACAAUGGAUGGUACAACGAGUCGCAAAACCGCGAGGUUUAGCUAAUCUCUUAAAACCAUUCUCAGUUCGGACUGUAGGCUGCAACUCGCCUACACGAAGUCGGAAUCGCUAGUAAUCGCGGAUCAGCAUGCCGCGGUGAAUACGUUCCCGGGCCUUGUACACACCGCCCGUCACACCAUGAGAGUUUGUAACACCCAAAGCCGGUGGGGUAAC